GCUCCAGGCUCUGAGCCAUCAGCCCAGAGCCUGACGCGGGGCUCGAACUCACAGACCGCGAGAUCGUGACCUGGCUGAAGUCGGACGCUUAACCGACUGCGCCACCCAGGCGCCCCUGGUUUCUCCUUUCAAGUAACAAACUCAGUUUCCUUGAUCUUUUCUCUUUUUUUUCUUUCUCUAUUACAUUUAUUUCUACUGCCAUCUCUAUUUCCUUCCUUCUGCUAACUUUGGGAUUCAUUUUUUUUUUUUUUUAUCCUUCUAGGUUUGAGGUUGGGUUGUUUAUUUGACAUCUUUCCAAUUUCUUAAUAUAUGCAUCCAUGACUAUAAACUUCCCUCUCAGAAGUGCUCUUGCAACAGCCCAUAGGUCUUGCCCUGUUGUGUUUCCAUUUUCGUUUAGGGAUGUUUUUUGCUCCUGUUACAAAUGUUUUCUUGGGUCACGUGUUGUUCACCAGUGUUCUGUUGAGCACCUGCAGCCUCUGGAAGGGACACAGCCCUGCUGACACCUUCACGUGGCCCGGUGGGACCGUGUCAGCCUUCUCCGCACAGAACCGCCCGGGCAUAAACAAACACUGUUGUCAACACUGAGUUCGUGGCGGUUUAUUUCACAGGAAGCUGGAAGAGUGGAAAGUGGGGUACAAAGCUAUAGCUGGAACGGGCUGACUUCCAUCCAAGAAAGGAGCUGCUCGAGGCGCCCGCCCUCCUGGACACGUGGCUCCUUCCUCGUCUGUGGAGCCCACACCUGCCACUAGGGUCCUUACUCAGCGCCUGAGCUGAUGCUAAUUAUUGGCUUCCCUCGUCCACACCUCAGAAGCCUGCGGCUGUACUGGCGAGUGUGGACAGCGCCGGCGUGGAUGCCAGUGCGCACACCUUCCAGGGCCCAGCUUCUGUUGCUUCGGCCUGCGCGCACCGCGCUGGCGUCGCCGGGUCCUUCUUCCUGCGCGCGGGGGCGCUGGGACGGCCGGCUCAGUGAGCGAUUCUGGGCUCACUUUCUGGGGAACUGCCACCCGGUUUACUCUCGCCCCGCCCCUGCAUUAAUUAGGGUUCCAGUUUCUCCACUUCCGCCCGGCACCUGUUACUUUCCUUAAACAAUGUUCUAAAUAUAUACAAGCCAUCCCAGUGAGCUUGCGGGGCUGCCUCAGCGGCGUUUUGGUUUCCAUGUCCUUCCCUGGACUCCUGAUCCCGCACGACAGGGCCCAGGAGCAGCCGGCAGACGGAGAAAGGCACUGAGCGCCCGGGGAAGAGAAGAACCGGGAUGUAUGGAGACCCAUGGCAGGUGCACUUGGGGGCCUCCCUGAGUAAGGCGGGUGACAGGUGUCAGUGAGAGCCGGAGGGCCUGUUCCCAGAGGGCAGCUGGGAAUGUGGGGCCGCAGGAUAGGGGAGGCGGGAAAUUACACCCUGGAGCCCUCCACUGAAAUGUCAAAUCGAAGCCCCCAGAUGCUGAGAUCACCAAAGGGAGAAGCGCGAGUACCGCUUAAUGGCCUGAGCGGAGCGCUUGGAGCCGCUGAACUGGGGGUGAGGGGGAGGAAUAGAAAAAGGGGGGCAGGUAUGGGGUGACACGGGACCCUGUCUGAGAACCGCGGGGGACUGAGGAAGCAGUGGGGCGGGAGGAGAGGCACCAUUAUGUGCAUCAGCCCCGGAGGCAAAGCUGGGACAGAGCCUGGCUGACUUGGGAGAGGCGGGGACAGUGGGCACAGUGGGGAUGGAGGGCUAUGAGGAUAGCAGAUCCUGGCGGGGGUGGAGCCCAGCGGGAGGUGCCGGUGGGACCCACAGGACUCUGAGGGAUGGACGUGGGGCGGGCUCAGGGGGACUCAAGGACCCCAUGUGUUCUCUGACCCGGGGCUGAUGGCCUUCAGAGAAAGGGGAAGAGGGAGCUGGCGACAGUUGUUGUGGGCGAGAAUCUCAGUCUGGCGGGCUGGGCUGGACCUGAGGCGUCCUCGGGGAUCUGCAGCCAUGGGCUGUCCUCAUGCAGCUGAGGACAGCUUUGGUCUCUGCACCUCGGGGCCUGCACCUCGGGGCACUUCCCUCCCGGAAGGAGCAGGACUCCGUCCAGGGCUGCCCCAGAGAGCGUGUGCAUGGGACUCACCCUCCUGCACGUGGAUCGCCUGGUGAGGCAGAGCGCUGCAAGAGAAGCCCGGUGAGGGACACAGUAGCCACCGGUUCCCUCCCCAGGGGUCAGCAUGCUGCCGACAAGGAUGUAGCCGUGUGACCUUCACACCUCCCCAAGUCAGCAGGACCCCCCGUCCCCCAACAUAGCUGCCUCCCCUGUCUCUGGCUGCAGACAAGUCUCUGGGACUCCCAACCAGACGCCCCCCUCGCCUUGCCUGUGUCUGGCCCCCCUCGCCCCCUGCUGUCCCAACCUCUAGCACACCUGUCAGAGGCCCCGGGCCCCACGCUGCUGGCUCAGGCCCAGGGGACAGAGCAGCAGGGCCUGCAGAGACCGUCCUCCCUGAGGGCCAACUGAGAGAGGCCUUGACUUCUGGAAGCCGUUUCUAGUGAGAUAUCACAUCACCAGGCUGAACACCUGUCAGAAGGAGGCCCACCUGGUAUUAACCCGUGACGGACAGAGACAGAGAUGAUGGGAAGGUAGAGAUAAGGAGAUGAUGGAUGCCUCGACGGAACAGAAGGUCCAGACCCAUGGGCUGUGCCGUGAGACACAAGCCAGGAAGCAGCCGUGCGGAUUCAGGGUCGGUGCGGCCCCAGCGGAGGGCGUCCCCCACCCACUGCGGGGAAUCUGGGGUCUGAGGUCAGAGCCACCCUCCCCGGAAGAGCACUUCUCUUUCUCCGUGAGAGCAACCAGCCUGGAUUCCCAGAGAAGCAGGAAGAAAAUGUGGAGACGCUCUCUGUGCAAACUCACCUACGGAAAGACCCCAGCUCCUGCCAUGUCCUGCCUCCCACAUAGUGACCCGUGUUAGGGUGAUGUUGCCCUGCAUGUACGUGUGUACAUGUGUGCAUGUGUGUGUGUGUGUGUGUAGUAGAACGGGAAGCAUUGCAGGUCAGCCAAAGAAAUAAAAUGACUUUGUCUAUCA
Molecule: long non-coding RNA, 3026 nt
Organism: Felis catus (domestic cat)
Lineage: Eukaryota; Metazoa; Chordata; Mammalia; Carnivora; Felidae
Exons: 4
Source: RefSeq, a predicted model, not a curated record